AAACUUCUUUAUCACCGAGUGCUUGCACUCACCGAUAAAGAGUUGAGUGGCGAACGGGUGAGUAACACGUGGGCAACCUGCCCAAAAGAGGGGGAUAACACUUGGAAACAGGUGCUAAUACCGCAUAACCAUAGUUACCGCAUGGUAACUAUGUAAAAGGUGGCUAUGCUACCGCUUUUGGAUGGGCCCGCGGCGCAUUAGCUAGUUGGUGAGGUAAAGGCUUACCAAGGCAAUGAUGCGUAGCCGAACUGAGAGGUUGAUCGGCCACAUUGGGACUGAGACACGGCCCAAACUCCUACGGGAGGCAGCAGUAGGGAAUCUUCCACAAUGGGCGAAAGCCUGAUGGAGCAACGCCGCGUGGGUGAAGAAGGUCUUCGGAUCGUAAAACCCUGUUGUUAGAGAAGAAAGUGCGUGAG
This 416-nucleotide ribosomal RNA is filed under the name Ligilactobacillus murinus. RNAcentral describes it as "bacterial SSU rRNA". It matches the Rfam family "Bacterial small subunit ribosomal RNA", at positions 69 to 459 of the family's 1533-position model. Lineage: Bacteria; Bacillati; Bacillota; Bacilli; Lactobacillales; Lactobacillaceae. The record is from RNAcentral.